RNAcentral lists this ribosomal RNA (253 nucleotides) under uncultured bacterium. RNAcentral's name for it is "partial 16S ribosomal RNA". It matches the Rfam family "Bacterial small subunit ribosomal RNA", at positions 524 to 776 of the family's 1533-position model. The record is from RNAcentral.
UACGGAGGGGGCAAGCGUUAUUCGGAAUUAUUGGGCGUAAAGGGCGCGUAGGCGGCUAGAUGUGUCAAAGGUGAAAUCCCUCGGCUCAACUGAGGAACUGCCUUUGAAACUGUCUGGCUUGAGGCCGGGAGAGGGUAGCGGAAUUCCCGGUGUAGAGGUGAAAUUCGUAGAUAUUGGGAAGAACACCGGUGGCGAAGGCGGCUCUCUGGACCGAGACUGACGCUGAGGCGCGAAAGCGUGGGGAGCAAACAGG